RNAcentral lists this ribosomal RNA (432 nucleotides) under uncultured bacterium. RNAcentral describes it as "partial 16S ribosomal RNA". It matches the Rfam family "Bacterial small subunit ribosomal RNA", at positions 29 to 507 of the family's 1533-position model. The record is from RNAcentral.
AACGAACGCUGGCGGCAUGCCUAACACAUGCAAGUCGAACGAGACCUUCGGGUCUAGUGGCGCACGGGUGCGUACGCGUGGGAACCUGCCCUUAGGUUCGGAAUAAAUCCCCGAAAGGGGUGCUAAUACCGGAUAAUGUCUUCGGACCAAAGAUUUAUCGCCUUUGGAUGGGCCCGCGUUGGAUUAGCUAGUUGGUAGGGUAAAAGCCUACCAAGGCGACGAUCCAUAGCUGGUCUGAGAGGAUGAUCAGCCACACUGGGACUGAGACACGGCCCAGACUCCUACGGGAGGCAGCAGUGGGGAAUAUUGGACAAUGGGCGAAAGCCUGAUCCAGCAAUGCCGCGUGAGUGAUGAAGGCCUUAGGGUUGUAAAGCUCUUUUACCCGGGAUGAUAAUGACAGUACCGGGAGAAUAAGCUCCGGCUAACUCCGUG